This is a small nucleolar RNA of Eutrema salsugineum, 109 nucleotides long. It matches the Rfam family "Plant small nucleolar RNA R71". From Rfam's summary of the family: R71 is a member of the C/D box family of snoRNAs containing the C (UGAUGA) and D (CUGA) box motifs. Multiple nearly identical copies of this snoRNA have been identified in Arabidopsis, and it is thought to function as a 2'-O-ribose methylation guide for 18S ribosomal RNA. Lineage: Eukaryota; Viridiplantae; Streptophyta; Magnoliopsida; Brassicales; Brassicaceae. The record is from Rfam.
AAGCCGUGGUGUGGGCAUUGGUUAGUGUAGCUUCUAAACCGUUCCCAAGCUUCACUAAAGCUCUCGUUAUUGUGCUGCGUGAAAAGAACUUUGAUAAGAACGCCAGUUU